RNAcentral lists this ribosomal RNA (465 nucleotides) under Vreelandella stevensii. RNAcentral's name for it is "partial 16S ribosomal RNA". It matches the Rfam family "Bacterial small subunit ribosomal RNA", at positions 338 to 795 of the family's 1533-position model. Lineage: Bacteria; Pseudomonadati; Pseudomonadota; Gammaproteobacteria; Oceanospirillales; Halomonadaceae. The record is from RNAcentral.
CCUACGGGCGGCAGCAGUGGGGAAUAUUGGACAAUGGGCGAAAGCCUGAUCCAGCCAUGCCGCGUGUGUGAAGAAGGCCUUCGGGUUGUAAAGCACUUUCAGUGGGGAAGAAAGCCUUGGGGCUAAUGCCCUCGAGGAAGGACAUCACCCACAGAAGAAGCACCGGCUAACUCCGUGCCAGCAGCCGCGGUAAUACGGAGGGUGCGAGCGUUAAUCGGAAUUACUGGGCGUAAAGCGCGCGUAGGCGGUCUGAUAAGCCGGUUGUGAAAGCCCCGGGCUCAACCUGGGAACGGCAUCCGGAACUGUCAGGCUAGAGUGCAGGAGAGGAAGGUAGAAUUCCCGGUGUAGCGGUGAAAUGCGUAGAGAUCGGGAGGAAUACCAGUGGCGAAGGCGGCCUUCUGGACUGACACUGACGCUGAGGUGCGAAAGCGUGGGUAGCAAACAGGAUUAGAUACCCGAGUAGUC